CCACACGUGUAUUUAAUGAUAAUAGGAAGGCCUCAGGAGUUCACAUUUGUUAACUGCAUUUUUGUUAGCCUUAUCCGUAAAAGAAGUACGAGUAUCCUUGUUCGUACCAUAAGAUUCAUGAUUUGGUUUUCACAUAAAGAUAGAGGUUGAAUAUCCCGACUAGACUACUUAGGUGCCUUAUAAUUAGACCUUGGUUGACCUAUAGUCAUGAUGCAGUCACAUAUAUAAUAAAAAUAUCUAUAUAUUUCAGUCUACCUUCUCUUUUCUUGCAUGAAUUAAAAAAAAAAAUCCUUAUGAUGACAAGUCUGGCCUCGUGGCAUAGUCUGGUUCGAGUAAUUAAGUUCGAGGGGUGUUUCACCUAAUGUCUUGAGCCAACUGGAUCGGGGGUCAUUGG
This 394-nucleotide long non-coding RNA is filed under the name Phoenix dactylifera (date palm). RNAcentral's name for it is "long non-coding RNA (PDAC_LNC020085)". Lineage: Eukaryota; Viridiplantae; Streptophyta; Magnoliopsida; Arecales; Arecaceae. The record is from RNAcentral.